GCUUUGAUCCUAGACCUGAAAUCAGGAAGGGUGCCUUACAAGUGCUUUUUGAUGCUUUACGCAAUCAUGGCCACCUUUUUUCUCUACCUCUAUGGGAACGUGUAUUUGAGUCGGUACUGUUUCCAAUAUUUGACUAUGUAAGGCAUGCUAUUGAUCCUACUGGUGGUGACGCUCCUGGGCAGGAGAUUGAUAGUGAUGCUGGUGAACUUGAUCAGGAUGCAUGGCUUUAUG
This 231-nucleotide unclassified non-coding RNA is filed under the name Hevea brasiliensis (rubber tree). The record is from RNAcentral. Lineage: Eukaryota; Viridiplantae; Streptophyta; Magnoliopsida; Malpighiales; Euphorbiaceae.